RNAcentral lists this long non-coding RNA (338 nucleotides) under Spirodela polyrhiza (greater duckweed). Its description in RNAcentral is "long non-coding RNA (SPOL_LNC002532)". The record is from RNAcentral. Lineage: Eukaryota; Viridiplantae; Streptophyta; Magnoliopsida; Alismatales; Araceae.
UCAGUAAUAAUUGAAGUAAAGAACCAAUAUAACCAAUAUAAAUAUAAAAGGCUAUAAACAGAUCCAUUUAUUUACAAUCGAAUUAUAUUUGUUCAAUACACCAUUGUCAAUAUGAAUUAUAUGAAAACAAAUCCAAUUUUUUACAAUAAUCAAUCAAUAUGGAUUUUUGAUUGAUUGGACCUUAUAGAGAUAGAAUAAAGGUGAACUUUUCGAGGAAUCCUCCAUCAGUGGUUGUGAGUGACUGACUUUUUCAAUCUUUUCAACCUUGGUUGCGUAAGUUCCCUAUCCACGAGUCUGUCGUUGUACUGGAAUACAAAUACCUUAAAUAAACAGGUAGU